Molecule: long non-coding RNA, 838 nt
Organism: Triticum aestivum (bread wheat)
Lineage: Eukaryota; Viridiplantae; Streptophyta; Magnoliopsida; Poales; Poaceae
Exons: 3
Source: RefSeq, a predicted model, not a curated record
CUCUUAUUCCAGGGAGGUGUCUUUGUGCGGCUGCCGGUUCAAGCUCGGAAUCAUCAGCACGACUGCACCAAGCUCCGCCUCCAGCCAAAGAACCUCCUCCCCUCCCGCCGGACGAGCUUCUCCUACACGCCCUACUUCCACCGACCUCCAUCGCUCUCUACCCCGAGGAGGAAUUAAUCCAAGUGGCGCCAUUCACUAAGGUUGUUGUCUAUAAAAGGAGGAGGAACCAAAUUAAUGUAUUUGUCUGCCAAUGAAGCUAGUGUUUGAAAAAAUAAAAUGUACUUACCUGCAUAUCUAGGAGCAUCAGAUAACGGCAUCAGUGCUGGUGGAUUGCGGGCUGGGCUCAGUGCUGGUUCAACCAACUCGCUCGAUUAGACACCACCAGUUGUAGAGAGUUACUCUAUCAGCUAACAUGGGGGCAUGUGGAGCAAUUCUGCAAGAUAGUACUGGCAUGUUCAUUGCAGCAGCGACACCUAAGCUUCAUCAUGUAGAUGAUGUUUGUCGGCUGAGGCUGCAGCUCUGGUGGAGGGUGUGAAGCUUGCAAAUACAGCUGGUUGUAAUGCAAUCCGGGUGCAAUCGGACUGCAUGGUUCUUACAGAAACUCUGCAACAAAACGCGGGGCAUUCGAUGGUGCCAGGCCCAAUUCUGGAGGAAUACCUGUUACUUUUAGUUGGAUUCGGGAAGGUCGCUUUAGAGCAUUUGUAAUCGUGAUUCUAAUAUGGUAGAUCAUGUGCUAGCGCAGAAUGGUCGUGUUGAUCAACCAAACUUGCGGUUGGACUCACCUCUUGCUUUUAUUUUUUAACUUUUAAUGGAUGAUGUAAUCGGUGCUUAAUAUUAA